CGUGCACCAGGGGGGUCCCUCAGCCUGGCCUGUGGGAAUCGGGGCCAGAGGGCGCAGGCCAGGCUGAGGGACCCCACCAGUGCACA
RNAcentral lists this microRNA precursor (86 nucleotides) under Myotis brandtii (Brandt's bat). RNAcentral's name for it is "mir-9193 microRNA precursor family". It matches the Rfam family "mir-9193 microRNA precursor family". Lineage: Eukaryota; Metazoa; Chordata; Mammalia; Chiroptera; Vespertilionidae. The record is from Rfam by way of RNAcentral.